Molecule: ribosomal RNA, 2549 nt
Filed under: Triticum aestivum (bread wheat)
Lineage: Eukaryota; Viridiplantae; Streptophyta; Magnoliopsida; Poales; Poaceae
Description: partial small subunit ribosomal RNA
Source: RNAcentral
UUUGUUCGAUUCUAACAACGGUACUGAACAUGAGUACGUCGUAACUUCUCUUCUCUGAAAGAAGUUAACCCAAAGUUUAUACUGUUAAAUGACUACCUUCUUUCACGUGUCUAUAACCUCUAUCUCUGAAAAUAUGGUUGAGAGGACGUUGCCGUCCUUCUACCGAUACGAGCAGAGUUUGCAACGUAAAAUUAACCACUAGUGGUAGUCAAUGGGGGACAGCACUUCUUGUACCGAAAAGUCUUCAUGUCGGUGUACCUGGUCUCAGAGAAGUGUUCCAAACAAGCGGAACCACAGGGAAUAUAACUUGAGUUACGAGUCCCAGCACGGUCUGGAUCAUAACGAGUCGAAAUAUUAACCUCUAUGUCUCUUGACCCUCUAGACGGAAUACAUGUACUCCUUCGAUAUAAGGUAUUUCGAUUAAGACCCAAGAGAAUGCUCAUAGUCGACCAACUACAAGGACUAAUAGCACCGUCUCCGCUCAGACGAGGAAGAGGAACCAAGAUGGUCUUACUUCCCCUCCGACUCAUAUAACAAUCACAGAUAUAAAUGUACGCAGACUAACCUAUGGGACGGUUAUUCUAAAGUUAUAAUUGGUGAAUGUUACCAGUCUUCGAAGAAUAAGCACUACAAUAGUCGUCUGCUACGUUCGGUACCUUAUAACUCGGUGGAACGUUCCAAUGAUGCCACCUGUUUAAGGUCCCAGUUGUUUUACUAAAAUAAAAUAACAGAGAACAGGCCUGGGCUAAACACCCAGUAGAAGCACUACAGUCUUCCGAAUAACACCGUUACAGGGCACGAGCCAACCCAAAUAUACACAAGACGGCGACAAGAGACAAACUUGUUACAAUACUUGACGUCGGUUGUAAGGUCGAAGAUGAGGUUUCCGGGCUAUUCGAACGCAAUUUAGAACUUCUCACGUGAGGCAAAUGUCUCGCUGGAAACCCUCUUCGACCUUUAUAAGUAAUAUAAUGACUACAACUUCUAUAACCUGUGAACCACUUGAAGUCUGACCUUGUAGAAGCGGUCUACGUUAGGUACGUUAUAAUACGUGGGGUACGUUUACGACUACGUCGGGGAGGACUUUGACCGUUACCACUAUAACAAAACCUAUUACGCUUCCUACCGUGUCUCUUUCUUUUACCACUCCGUUGACUACGACACUUGUUACUGUUCUAUCUCCUUCUAUGACAACUCAGUUUUCUACUAUGCCACGUCCUUCAUUUGUUCUACCUACUUCCAUUACACUGAUCUCUUCUGUUCUACCCCCUUCUUUCACGACUACUCCGAUUCCUGUUCUACCACCUUUGAUGACGACUUCACCGAUAACUCUUGUUGUAUCACCUUCAUUUACGGUUACACCGGUUCCUGUUCUACCUGCUUCUUUUACGGAACAGUUUCCCGCACCUCGUUCUAACUGGACUAUAUUAGCAACCGACCAACCCUAUCACUGGGAUGUAAGUAAAAAUACGUGCCUGAAACAGACGAAGUUUAUAAACUAAACCCGUUGACCCACAACAGAGUGUCCCAUUGUUGCCUUGAACUCAACGACUUCCGGCUUGGUUCCGUACGUUUUUGCAUACCAGGACAGUUUUCUUGUACGGAGGUAUACGGUGGACAAACUUGGAACUAGUCCAAUAUACGUCCUCCGUACAUGUCUUCGAAGACGUUACUAUUGAAGAGGUUAAGCUUGUAUCUAUGGGGUCUCCUGUCGACCUUGUAACCACAACGGGUUAAAAACACAUAAUCUAAAUAGAUAACAUUAAACUCGCUAUUACACUCAUCAGUGUUAUUAGAUCCUCCGAAAAGUCCUAAACUCAAACACGAUUGACAUAAAAGAGAGAGAACUAUAGUCAAGUAUAUUACUACCAUCAAUCCGGAUCCCAAAGACUAACUACAUCUUCUCGACAACGGCGGCGGACCACACCGAUGAUACUGACUCGUCUCCACCAAAGGGACGACACCAGUUGAAGUUCCGCACCUAGUGGUUUACCUGCUCCCUGCACCACCACGCCCGUUGAGGUUGCACCUAGUGGUUUAGAUGCUUGCAAACGACGGUGUAAACUUGUAAAGACACCUAUCGGCCGACCAGGCAUCUGCACCACCACGCCCGUUAAGGUUGAACCUAGUGGUUGACCUGCUUACAAACCACCGUGCAACAUUGUACAGAUGCCUAUCGACCGGCCUGCCUGCGGUGUGUUGUCCUCAAUAAUGGUUUAUUUUCCUGUAUCUAUAAAGUAAGUAAAUUGUAAAAUAAAACGUAUCUUUUUAAUUGUUAUUUUGGUUGAUUUUUAGGUCGAGACGAUAACCGUUCGCGCUUGCUCCGCCUCAACUGAUACUUUUACGGAGAAACACGAAGUGGAACCACGAAGGUAGUUUUGCAUGGUUGGAGGUUCACUUACUGAUCAAACUGCUUGAACAUAUUGUACACUGUGAAGACGAGGAAAACGGAGUGUUAUAUUCAGCAGCCCGAGUUCCGCUUAGCCAGUAGGAACAAAGUCAGCUGGAGAAAGAGCAGUACACUUUAGCUGGAAAUUUAACCCAAUAGA